RNAcentral lists this ribosomal RNA (732 nucleotides) under Escherichia coli. Its description in RNAcentral is "partial 23S ribosomal RNA". It matches the Rfam family "Bacterial large subunit ribosomal RNA", at positions 2190 to 2916 of the family's 2925-position model. Lineage: Bacteria; Pseudomonadati; Pseudomonadota; Gammaproteobacteria; Enterobacterales; Enterobacteriaceae. The record is from RNAcentral. RNAcentral also lists the same sequence under 1 other name.
CCUUGAAAUACCACCCUUUAAUGUUUGAUGUUCUAACGUGGACCCGUAAUCCGGGUUGCGGACAGUGUCUGGUGGGUAGUUUGACUGGGGCGGUCUCCUCCUAAAGAGUAACGGAGGAGCACGAAGGUUGGCUAAUCCUGGUCGGACAUCAGGAGGUUAGUGCAAUGGCAUAAGCCAGCUUGACUGCGAGCGUGACGGCGCGAGCAGGUGCGAAAGCAGGUCAUAGUGAUCCGGUGGUUCUGAAUGGAAGGGCCAUCGCUCAACGGAUAAAAGGUACUCCGGGGAUAACAGGCUGAUACCGCCCAAGAGUUCAUAUCGACGGCGGUGUUUGGCACCUCGAUGUCGGCUCAUCACAUCCUGGGGCUGAAGUAGGUCCCAAGGGUAUGGCUGUUCGCCAUUUAAAGUGGUACGCGAGCUGGGUUUAGAACGUCGUGAGACAGUUCGGUCCCUAUCUGCCGUGGGCGCUGGAGAACUGAGGGGGGCUGCUCCUAGUACGAGAGGACCGGAGUGGACGCAUCACUGGUGUUCGGGUUGUCAUGCCAAUGGCACUGCCCGGUAGCUAAAUGCGGAAGAGAUAAGUGCUGAAAGCAUCUAAGCACGAAACUUGCCCCGAGAUGAGUUCUCCCUGACUCCUUGAGAGUCCUGAAGGAACGUUGAAGACGACGACGUUGAUAGGCCGGGUGUGUAAGCGCAGCGAUGCGUUGAGCUAACCGGUACUAAUGAACCGUGAGG